GAUGAAGAACGUAGCGAAAUGCGAUACGUAAUGUGAAUUGCAGAAUUCAGUGAAUCAUCGAGUCUUUGAACGCACAUUGCGCCCCCUGGUAUUCCGGGGGGCAUGCCUGUCCGAGCGUCAUUGCUGCCCUCAAGCACGGCUUGUGUGUUGGGCCUCCGUCCUCCUCCCGGGGGACGGGCCCGAAAGGCAGCGGCGGCACCGCGUCCGGUCCUCGAGCGUAUGGGGCUUCGUCACCCGCUCUUGUAGGCCCGGCCGGCGCUUGCCGACACAUCAAUCUUUUUUCCAGGUUGACCUCGGAUCAGGUAGGGAUACCCGCUGAACUUAAGCAUAUCAAUAGCGGAGGAA
Molecule: unclassified non-coding RNA, 345 nt
Filed under: soil metagenome
Description: partial contains 5.8S ribosomal RNA, internal transcribed spacer 2, and large subunit ribosomal RNA
Rfam family: 5.8S ribosomal RNA (bases 1-120)
Source: RNAcentral